AGUCUCUGCUGAGUAGCUUAGAGGGCGACAGCUACAGCCUGGAGGAGUGUCGACUCUUCAUACUGCAGUGGGCCAAGGAGCUCAACAACCUGCCCCAGUUGUGUGGAGCCCCUGAUGUGUGUGGGAGCUGGGAGCAGUAUGAGGAGAAGAAAGAGACCCAUCCAGAGGAGGCCGACAGGAGACUGAAGGCGGCCCAGAAACUGCUCUCCUCCUGGGCCACACAGCUGGACACACAGCCCCAGACUCACAGUAAGCGUCCUGGUCCAACGCUCUGUCGUCCACAAACUAAAGACAUUUCUCCAGAGUGUGUUAUCUGCCAACAAGACACCAGUGGAGUCAGUUGAUCAGCCUGCCACGCCUGAUCAGAGGCCUGAACUGCCUGCAUCUUCCCUCAAGGUUCCUCAU
Engraulis encrasicolus (European anchovy) is the source of this 405-nucleotide long non-coding RNA. RefSeq lists it as uncharacterized. The transcript has 4 exons. The record is from RefSeq and is a predicted model, not a curated record. NCBI's taxonomy places the organism in Eukaryota, Metazoa, Chordata, Actinopteri, Clupeiformes, Engraulidae.